AGAUCUACUAAUACCUACAUAUUUAAAUACAGAACAACUCUGACAUCAUAAUUGUUUAGAAGUGAACUAUCUGAAGUUCACCCUAAUAGUUCUCUAAUACACUACUUGAAGCAAAAACUGUUCUACUGAGCUGGAAAGCAUCUUCUGUAACAAAGUUUUUUCUGACUUCCCUCUGAAAACAAAGCAAAGGGAGAGAAUAACUAAAAGUAACUAAAAGUAAAUAAAGCCUUACCAUGUAUUCAGAUGGAGCCAUAAACUCAAUAGUAGCAUUCUGGACUUCAGGUCUUUUAUGAGGUUCUCCAUAAACUCUUGUCACAGGAUUAUACAGGAAUUCUUCGGGAACUAUGCAGGUAAGUUUAUAUGUUAGUAUUUCACACUGGUACUGGCUGUGCUGCAUUUUAAAACACAUAUAUCUUUUGUAGCUGUUGGGCAACACUUCUUGGAGAACUACACUAGGCAGGGCAGCUAUUUUGUCACCUGAAAGGAUACUCUGGGGGACCACUUGGGCUUACUGUGCUUCUCUAGUGACACCACUGCCAUUGGGAAACACUUCUCACGACUCACAGCCCAGCAGGACUCGCAACAACCCCAGCACUGACUUGGCCAACAAGUAACAGUCUCAAAGGCCAAGGUAGGAAAGGUGAACUGUAACCCUUUAAAUCAAUAAGCACAUUUAAAACCUACCAUCAUUCACUCUAUAGCACAAAUUGCAUUUCCACCUCCUUUGGUCUAGAAAGCUGACAAAAGGGUUAAUGUAGGUCCGGCAGGAACGGCAUCUCACGAUAAUACUGGAAGUGACCACUGGCAAUUGCUGGAAGAGAGAAGCUUCCUGUUUUAAAGCAUCACCACACUGCAGCUAUUCAUCUACAGCAACAACACUGCUUCCUGGCUAGCUGCUCAAAGCACUCUUGUGGAAGGAAGGAGCACUUCUGCAUCCUCACAGCAUCCCUACAAUUCCUUAGUGUAACAGCCUUACCCAUGAGGCCACCACCUUCUAUUGCAUCGUAGCUGUUUUGCACCACAGACCCAUCACUGGCAGCAGAUGCAGCAUCACCUUUGAAGGAAAAGGAUCAGAAAAAAAAUUCACAAGUUAUGAAGAUGUUUUAAUGAGUUAACUGCAAAACAAUCCUACUUGCUGGAUGAAUAUUUAGUUUUCUUUCCAGGCUGUGCUCCAGUUUUUUGCAUCAACCUGACUUAGGCUGCUCAGAAAACAACCUGAAUCAAGUGAUUACAGAAAAGCUAACCAUGCUAAAAGGAGACCAAGCUAAAAGAAGACCACGCUCACUAAACAGAACUAUAGUUCUUAACUGCGAAGUCCUGGACUGAAACAUGUUAAUGCUCCAAGAGCCACCCCAAGGAAUGGUGAAGGUCACAGAAACACCGUCCCAAAACAAUGAGACACCAUUCAGGAGUUACCUGCUUCAGCCAACUGAAACACCCAACCUGUGCACAGAACUUCUACUUCUACCCCAAAGAAAGCACCCCAGUAUUUCCAAUGGCUGUAUCUGCUUUGAGUCUUGUUCCACAAGCUAAGUGCCACUGCAGAGUCAAUUCUAUCCUCUUUAUUUCAAAAGGACACUGAGAAAUGGACAUUGCUAAGACAUCCAGAGGGGAUGGUUACCUGGCUUCAUGUAGCUGUUCUGAAGCUGGGGACCUCCCGGAGAAGCAGCAUAUUGGUAACUCCCUGGGGGAUUUGUACUUCCUGACAAUGACGACGGUGGCUGAGCUGACCCUGGCCCUGGCCCAUGAGCCAAAUGGCUUGUUUGAGCCCCAAGUGGCUGACUCACAGGAGGCUGGCUGUACUGCCAGUUUGAAAGCACCGGUGGGCUGGCUCCAGGGGGAAAGCUUCCAGCAGAAGAUAGAGCAGCUGAGUUCUGUAACGCGGGCGGCAGCAGCACUUGCGGAGCAGGACCUGUCUGUGGUACUGGUGACCCGGAGAAAGCUGGCACUGGGGGUCUGUUCAGAGUCUGGCCAGGUCCUUGAUAAUUGUUUAACUGAGAAACAUUCUGAGAGCCACUAUAGUUAUACUGUCCAGGAGACUGAUGUGGAGGAACCUUCGCCGGCGCCUGAUGGGGGUACGGUCCUGGAACCGCAGGGUUGUAUCCCUGGCCAUCGGGUGAAUGCAUCAGCUGGUUCUGAACAGGGCCUGCAAGAAAGAAAACUACACUCUUUAGGAAGUCAGUGUGGUGCAUCACUUCUGAAAAUAAGAGAUGUUUUCCUUGGGAUUUUAUGAGUCUCCAGGCCAUUUAAACAGUCAGGUGUGACAGAAGUAUUGCUACAGGGGACAUGAAUUUGGCAGUAUUUUGCUAUCAACACUUAGAUCUUUGUUUUGUUCUACAGUAGCCUUGCAACCACUAGGCAUUUCAUGCUCCUGGACUGAAAUUCACCCAGGAUACCAUUUGAAUCUUCAGAAACACCCAAAAGCAAGCUGACCACAGAGGAGCACUCUCACACAGCUGACAGCAGCACAUGAGCAGACCGAAAGCGGAAGAUCCAUUGCGUAAUAACUCCAUUUCACAUGACGACUGACAUCUACUUAAACUUCAGCUUACCACAAAGACACCACCAGCCAGCUCCAGCAUAGGUCACCACGCUACUUCUCAAGUGACAGAGUUAAUCUAUGAAAGUUUCUGCAGUUAAUUUUAGUAAGAGAACUAUUCAUACGCAUGUGAGCGGCCUACUGUCACCAACACGGAAUGAAGGGUAAGUUUAUCAUAAAAUA
Molecule: long non-coding RNA, 2722 nt
Organism: Pipra filicauda (Wire-tailed manakin)
Lineage: Eukaryota; Metazoa; Chordata; Aves; Passeriformes; Pipridae
Exons: 3
Source: RefSeq, a predicted model, not a curated record